CGUAAGGCGCCGAAUGAGUCAUUAAAAAUUAACAUCAUCCGAUCCCUAGUCGGCAUAGUUUAUGGUUAAGACUACGACGGUAUCUGAUCGUCUUCGAUCCCCUAACUUUCGUUCUUGAUUAAUGAAAACAUCCUUGGCAAAUGCUUUCGCAGUAGUUAGUCUUCAAUAAAUCCAAGAAUUUCACCUCUGACAAUUGAAUACUAAUGCCCCCAACUAUCCCUAUUAAUCAUUACGUCAAUCCCUAGAAACCAACUAAAAUAGGAUCGAACGUCCUAUUUCAUUAUUCCAUGCUAAUGUAUUCAAGCGUUAGCUUGCUUUAAACACUCUAAUUUUUUCAAAGUAACAGUCCAAAUUCCCGCAACACCAAAUUAAUGGCAUUACGGCUCAUCAGGAAGGAGGAAUCAGUGAGGCCAGUGCAUACCAGAGGCAUGACCAACCUACUAACCCCGAAAUUCAACUACGAGCUUUUUAACUGCAACAACUUUAAUAUACGCUAUUGGAGCUGGAAUUACCGCGGCUG
RNAcentral lists this ribosomal RNA (520 nucleotides) under uncultured Glomus. RNAcentral's name for it is "partial 18S ribosomal RNA". Lineage: Eukaryota; Fungi; Glomeromycota; Glomeromycetes; Glomerales; Glomeraceae. The record is from RNAcentral.